UCCCACAAGAUGAGACGGUGAGAUGCAGUCCGCUGUUUGGGGCCAUCGCCGUUGCUAGCGGCAAGUAGGGGUCCGUCGCGGAUAGCACAGCCCGCGUCCGGCAUGUCCAAGCCCCAGCCUAAGCUAUGGCAGCUGCUCCCAUGCCUAUUCUCCCCUCAAUUCGAGCUCGGAAACGACUCACACAAGAUGAGAUUGCGGUGUGCCGUUCGGGGCUGUCACCGUCGCCGGAGGCAAGGCGAGAGCUAUUGCGGGUAGCACCGCUUGCGUCCGGCACACUUGUACCUGAGCCUAAGCUGUGGCAGCUGCUCCAUGCCGCAGUGCCCCGCUAAACAACAUCGUGUGCGGGGGCGGUCAGCUGGUACCUCGAAAUACAGGGGGAGCUCAUGCAGACUCACUUGAAGUUUGGAGCUCGAUGCAAGCUCACAGCCUGAGAUUCAAGGCGCAACAACGUAGCUAUGGAUGAUGAAGUGCCAGGAGCUGCUUCAAUGCUCAAGAACACAGUGGAUGCAUGCUGAUCCACGGAGAGAGCAAUUUUCUAGCAAUCCUAAUCUAUUCUCAUGUGAUCUAGGGGGCAACAUUGACAAUGUAGUAGAUGGACAGGAGAAAGGAUGUAGCCCGGAAGAUAUUUUGGCAGUAAUCUGUUGUUACACAGGAGAAAAAAAAGUGUUUUGCUGAUUAUCUGGAAUAAAUUAGAGAGGUACGCUGAUUAUGCAUGCUCAA
Molecule: long non-coding RNA, 720 nt
Organism: Triticum dicoccoides
Lineage: Eukaryota; Viridiplantae; Streptophyta; Magnoliopsida; Poales; Poaceae
Exons: 2
Source: RefSeq, a predicted model, not a curated record